Long non-coding RNA from Chenopodium quinoa (quinoa), 2381 nucleotides. RefSeq lists it as uncharacterized. NCBI's taxonomy places the organism in Eukaryota, Viridiplantae, Streptophyta, Magnoliopsida, Caryophyllales, Amaranthaceae. The transcript has 5 exons. The record is from RefSeq and is a predicted model, not a curated record.
GCGCACUUUUCGCACCGGUUCUUGAAAACCGGUGGGAAAAGAAAUGGGCGGGAUUGGGGAAAAUACUUUUCCCACCAGUUCCUAAUAAACCGGUGCGAAAUCAUUUUUUUCGCACCGGUUCAAACCGGUGCCAAUUACGAAAUAAAAAAAAAACCGGGCUGUUUUUCUUCUUCUUUCUUUCUUUCUUUCUUUCUUUCCAUGUUCUGUACUUUUAAUUUCCCUCUCAUUUUUGCCUUCGUUCUCUAUCCAUAAUCCCGAAUUGCCCUAGCGUUCUCACUCCAUUAAAGCAGCACCUCCGCCUUCUCACUCCAUUGAAGCAGCACCUCCGCCUCCAUUAAAUCGUGCUCUAUAUUCUCCAUUGAAGCCGAAUCUGAGCAUUCUUACCUCCAUUGAAGCUGCUCCGGCAGGAACUCUAAGGGUCUUAUUGUUCUAAUGAAGACUACUGAUAAGGGCCUGAUAAUGAAAGUGAUUACUCAGAUGGGUCUUUUUCCUAUGAUCCCGAUGAAGGGAGGUUCCAAGAUACAGGAGGCAUACCCUCAUCUUCCAGGAUUUUUCUUAGAAGUAUUCAAUGACUGGAUUGAUCCUGAGCGGCAAGGCUGUCUGUUGUAUGCAUAUGGGAAAUUUUUAUGAAGCAGAAUCACUGUUACUUGAAGCUCUGAACAAGGAGCUUGGACACGUUAAGAUAAAGGAGUGUUGCCUCUAAGUAGUGGAUAGUGGUUCCUGAGUGGUUCCUCAUUGAGAUGGGAACAGUUGCAAUCGAUGCUGCUCAAUUGGCAAGCGAGCAUCAAUCAGCAAAUAGGAGAGGUCAGAGGAUGAAAACUACGAUGAAGAGUGAGUUAGCCUUCUCUCAUUGUUUUGUAAAAUAAGUUGAUUUGAUAUUCUUCUAUCUGAAUUAGAUUAGACGUACAUAAAUUUGACGAGAUUUGUGCCCUAUCUACCUCUAGAUAAUUAAAUUAUGGAAGAUAAGGAAGGGUUGUUAUUUAUGUAUACAUCUGUAGUUUUUAAUCCUUUCAAUAUGUUGUUAGCUUAGGCAAUCAAUGUUUCUUUGAGCUGAUUAUACUAAAACUUUUAAACAAUCCAAAUGAAGUUCGCUAAAUAACUUUGAUGUUUACUUCUAACUUCUAAGUGCAUUCAGAUGAAGCUGAUUGCACUUUUGCACUGUAUCUCAAUGGUCAGUUAUGCCAGAAAAGCACAAACAUCAUGUUGGACACAACUGAGGUCAAGUGAUAGCAUUCAUAGCAAGCUAUUCACUUUAUUGUCUUUUGUUAGAAAUCAAUAUACAAGUACUAUUGAUUCAGAAUUUGGAGUCUAAGGGUAAAUACUGUUAUUACAUACUUUUUUUUCAACCGACAUUUAUUUUUAGAUUUCUUGCUUGGUUUGUGUCAAUGAAAUGCCCGUACGUCUGUAAUGACCUCAAAAUAACUAGAGUCGUGUGUAUUGAGUCCUUUUUUUUCCAGAAAACUUGAUACAACUAAUAGUAAUCUUGAACAAAUUUUGAUUUUUUUAAGUCGCAUAUAUUCACAGAUAGUUUUUGUAAUCCUUCCACACUUUUUACUGUCUUUGUGAAGUAAUCUCGGAUGCGUUAUCCAUCUUUAGAAGUGCUUUUUCCUUCUGUUAUCUCCCUUUUUUUUUUGUUUCCUCUCAAGCUCCUUUGACUAAUGCGAAGGACAUGAUUUUACUACUGUUGGUAUUUGGCUUGUUCCCUGCAGGGAGAAUAUAAUUGAGGUUUUCUCUAAUCAUAGGGUUAUGUUUAAGAUAAUUAUAGUAAGUAACCCUAGCCCGACUACGUGGAGUAUGUACAAAAUUCUUCCUAGAAUUGUUAAAUGUUUAAUCUUAGGAUUUUAUGUAUGGGUUUGCUGUUUGCUGCCUAUUGGUCUGCUGUUCUGCCUGCUGUCUGCUGUUGUGGUUGCGCUGCUGUGUUCAGUGCUGCUUUGAUGACAAGUUGUUGUAUGUUUGUGCUGCUGUUGCACUGUUGUGUUGUUGGUCUGCUGGUUUUGAUAGCUUGUGCUGGGUCUGGUGGUGGCUGCCUAGCCGUGGUGUAGCUUCUAGUUGUUGUUUUGCUUGUAGCUGCUGCUGGGGUUGCUGGUCGUGGUGUGGCUAUGCUGUCGCAUUCUCUAUUGCAGGCUUGGGGUUAGUGGGAGCUGCUGUAGUCUGCUGUUUUUUUUAUCUUAGUUUUUAUUCUAUUUAUCAAAGAUGUAGUGCUCUUUAAUGGAUGUUUGACACAAAUAUUGAAGAAAAUAUAUGUGUUUUAUGUAUAUUAUGAUUAUAUAUAAGUAUUUGUACAAUAUAACUGAAAAAAAUGCAAUAAAAUAAAAUUAUUUUUUAUUUUUUUGGGGCACUUUUGUCACCGGUUUUGGAAAAGAAUCGGUGCUAAAAGUUUU